UAGGGGAAUCUUCCAACAAUGGGCGAAAGCCUGAUGGAGCAACGCCGCGUGUGUGAUGAAGGGUUUCGGCUCGUAAAACACUGUUGUAAGAGAAGAAUGACAUUGAGAGUAACUGUUCAAUGUGUGACGGUAUCUUACCAGAAAGGAACGGCUAAAUACGUGCCAG
Molecule: ribosomal RNA, 166 nt
Filed under: uncultured bacterium
Lineage: Bacteria
Description: partial 16S rRNA
Rfam family: Bacterial small subunit ribosomal RNA
Source: RNAcentral